RNAcentral lists this long non-coding RNA (2040 nucleotides) under Marmota monax (woodchuck). Lineage: Eukaryota; Metazoa; Chordata; Mammalia; Rodentia; Sciuridae. The record is from RNAcentral.
GCACACACGACCUGACCUCAUCUUUACAAAUGUGCAGAACAAAAGGACACACAGGACUGAGUGGGUUAGAGACCACCAGGGCCAGAGGGUUCGGUCUAGAAGUGCUGGCUUUGCCCCGAAAGGUAGACCCAAUGGGCUCACAACACACCAGGGUCCAAAUGCCCCUUCGGGUUGUUGAAGUGGAAAGUCUACGUUCUCUUUAUUUUAUCACAUUUUUUAAAAACUUGAUUUUUAAAAAAAAAACACAGUGGGUAAGCCCCACCCCAGGUCCAGGCCUCCGCUGACCAGGGCAGGCCUGUCCACAGAAGGUGGACCUCUCUGCUGGCAGAGACCCUGCUGCCCUGGGCGCCACUCCCUCCCUCCCACCUGGGCCUGUGCCCACCACACGCCACCUCCCACCCUCUGCAGACUGCUAUGGGAUCUGCCCGCCCGUGCCUGGCCCACAGCUGCUUACCUGCCCGGGGCCUGCAGCUCCUGCCUCCGUCCACCUGGCUCUGGGAUCCAUGAAGAAGGGGUUAUAUCGCUCCCUGACCACCUGACCUCCUCGCCCGCAGGCCACAGGGUGCCAAGGACCCUCUGCUUCCUGCACCAGUGAAGCAAAGGAGUCAUGGGCAGGCCUGGGCCCCCCCCAAGCCAACCACGAGAGGCGCCAUCUGUGCCGGAGGUGGCAUGGAGCUGCCCAGGGCCUGGCCUCCACCUCAACAUCAGGCGAAGAUGGGAAGGAGCGUCACAGCAGACAGAUGCUGGCGUGCAGGCGGCUGCAGGGUCCGGCAGGCCCCUCGGCAAUGCUGUGCCCGAGAGCUCCGUUUGUCUUUGGGGUCCUUGCAAAUGGGCUUGGGUGACCAGGCCCCACCGACGGCCCUGCCUCGGGAGCCUCGCGCCUCUCUCACGUCAGAGCACUUCCCUGCUGAGCAGGGUGAGGCCCCAGUGGGACUGCGAAGCAGGAAGAAGCCCGCUGGCCCUACAAGGCUGGGCCGGGGGUCGCAGCCUCUUGAGAACCCCCCUUUCUUCCUGAUCUGCGGUCAUGGCGCCUUUGGGAAAGCAUCAAGGUCAAAGAAAGCCAUUUAAACACCACUGUGUGUGUCAAGCUGCUACACGAAGGCCCAGGCUGACUUCCCACAGGCCGCGUGUCCUUGGACACCCUUGGACACCCUUGGACAUCCUUGGUGGCUCUGUCCUGGGUGCUGAGUCCCACAGUCCACGUCUCUUUUCCUGUUGAAGGAUGCUGGAGAGAGGCCAGCUCAGGGGGAGAAUGGGUGGCCACAGAGACAGGAGACAGGGCUCCACUGCUGCUCACAGGAGCCCUCGGCCCGCCGCGGACCCCUUCUGGUUCGGCCACCUCAUCCACAGAUGUGAACUUGGAUAAGUCAGAACUCAGAGAACAAACCCGUUCAGUGCAAGCGUAUGCCCAGGGUCGGCCGAGACGGGCGUGCGCCAAGAGCGACUCCUCGUGUGCGCGACGCCUCGUGGGCCAUUCAGACCUCACGGGCAGCCUACUUUGGUCUCUUGCCUGGAGACUAUCCUGCAAAGUGGGUCUAGGGACACGGACUCUCCAGCCGCCCCAUGAGCAGCAGGAGCCCAGGGGCUGGGCCUCAGUCCAGCCUCUGCACCACCGUCAGGCGCCCCUGCAGAGCUGCAGCGGGAGCACCCGGGCUCCCUGCAGCCCCACCCACCCCUGCCCAGCAGAACUUCUCCUUCCCGCCAGGAGCGGUUCCCCAUCCGAGGAGACCUCAGCCCUCAGCUUCUCCCUGGGAGUUUCGGGCUCUCUGAGUUAUUUUAGGUCCCCUCCGGCCACGCCCAGAACCCUGGUGCCCACCUGCCCGCCUCACUGCCUUUGCACGGGGGCCCUGCCCGGAGGGGCUGCGCCUGGCCCUCUCACCUCCUCUGCCAGCAAGCCAAGGGCCCAGCCCACCCUCCAGAGGACACAGAGAUGGACUGGAGCUGGUCUGGACAGGGAGGGAGUGGCCCCUCAGGGAAGCCCCGGGCAGCACGGCUGAGACUCACGGCAUCGUCAGGGAGCAGCGCCUGUUUCCCCGGGAG